UCGCGGCAAACGCGCACCGUGUGUGUGUGUGUGCGUGUGCUUAAACGUGAAAUCGAAAAGCGCGAAAAAAACAACGUUGCCACCGCCGCCGCGCGCCGACUCAUCGUCGAACGGCGCCAAUCGCCAAGCCGCUGCGGUUGGCAGCCUGCAGCUUAAUUACACGAGACGUAAUACUAUAUACCUACUAUUUUUUUAUUUUAUUUUAUUUUAUUUUUUUUUCGUUAUAGCUGGUUGAUCCUCGAUUUAUUUAAUGAAAUAUCGGAACAUUUAUAACUACAAAAUAUAUAGGUAGUGUCUAAAAUCAGAUAUAAUAAUACAUAUAAUAAUAUAUAAUAUAUGUAUUUUAUUGUUUGUAUGGGCAUAAAUAUAAAACUAUUUUAUAAUAUUAUAAUCUAAGAUAUAUUUUAAAUCUUAAAUACCUACCUAUACUUAUAAGUUAUAAUAUAUUAUAGAGGUAUAUAGUAUGUUUAUUAUUCGACAUACUCAUAAAGGUAAUGCGAUAAUUAUUGGCAAUUACCUACUGAUUUUUAUUGUGGUCGUGAUCGGGAUUCAGAAGUUCAGACUCCAGGAGUCCAGAAGUUACAACAGCGGUGGAAUUGGUAUUAUAAAUUAUAAUAUAGGUGUAUAUCUAUAGUAAUUCCAAAGACGUCCUUUGUAGAUGUAAUUAAGUGCAACCGGCACCUGAAGGCUAAAACAGAUAUACCUACCAUUCCCAAUAUUAUAAUAUAUUUAUAUAUUGUCGGCUAGUAUAUUUUUGUACUGCAGUGGUAACUAGUGAUCUAUUAUAUAUUCAAAUAAGGAAAUCUGCAGAGAUGAGCAUAACUUAUUAAGUAGGUAGAAACCAACCGGCAAGUGACAACCACCAGAAUGAGCCAAUACAUAUGUCAUAAUAUUGGUUAUAUAUACACCUAUACCUAAAUAUUUUGUGAAAAUUUCAAUUUAUGUGGUUAUUAUUGUUUUUGUAUUAUAAUAAAAUAAAGAAAUCGUUAUUUUAUGUACGAAUA
Aphis gossypii (cotton aphid) is the source of this 1004-nucleotide long non-coding RNA. RefSeq lists it as uncharacterized. The record is from RefSeq and is a predicted model, not a curated record. Lineage: Eukaryota; Metazoa; Arthropoda; Insecta; Hemiptera; Aphididae. The transcript has 2 exons.